This 468-nucleotide ribosomal RNA is filed under the name uncultured bacterium. Its description in RNAcentral is "partial 16S ribosomal RNA". It matches the Rfam family "Bacterial small subunit ribosomal RNA", at positions 28 to 507 of the family's 1533-position model. The record is from RNAcentral.
GACGAACGCUGGCGGCGUGCUUAACACAUGCAAGUCGAACGGAAAGGCCCUGCUCUUGUGGGGUUCUCGAGUGGCGAACGGGUGAGUAACACGUGAGUAACCUGCCCUUGACUUUGGGAUAACUUCAGGGAACUGGGGCUAAUACCGGAUAGGAUCUCCUGCUGCAUGGUGGGGGUUGGAAAGUGUCGGCGGUUGGGGAUGGACUCGCGGCUUAUCAGCUUGUUGGUGGGGUAGUGGCUUACCAAGGCUUUGACGGGUAGCCGGCCUGAGAGGGUGACCGGCGACCAUGGGACUGCGAGACGGACCAGACUGCUACGGGAGGCAGCAGUCGGGAAUAUGGCACAAUGGGCGGACGCCUGAUGCAGCAACGCCGCGUGCGGGAUGCCGGCCUUCGGGUUGUAAACCGCUUUCGCCUGUGACGAAGCCUGAGUGACGGUAAUGGGUAAAGAAGCACCGGCUAACUACGUG